UUUGGUAAAGCAAAGCAAUGGAUUAAUACAUAACAUCUUUUGAAAAUGAGUCAAAUAACCAUUAAAGUCAAUCUAUAAUUAAAGAAAUUCAACCGUUUUUGAACUCAUUAAAUGGAGUUAUGUGCAAUCGCCUUUAGAAUGUCUACCAAGGAGUGUAAAUAACACGGUGGUUGUUAUCAACACUCUUUUAUAAGAGCGCAC
This 201-nucleotide long non-coding RNA is filed under the name Prunus persica (peach). RNAcentral's name for it is "long non-coding RNA (PPER_LNC006453)". The record is from RNAcentral. Lineage: Eukaryota; Viridiplantae; Streptophyta; Magnoliopsida; Rosales; Rosaceae.